Molecule: ribosomal RNA, 400 nt
Filed under: uncultured bacterium
Lineage: Bacteria
Description: bacterial SSU rRNA
Rfam family: Bacterial small subunit ribosomal RNA
Source: RNAcentral
GGGGAAUAUUGCACAAUGGGGGAAACCCUGAUGCAGCAACGCCGCGUGAGCGAUGAAGGCCUUCGGGUUGUAAAGCUCUGUCUUCAGGGACGAUAAUGACGGUACCUGAGGAGGAAGCCACGGCUAACUACGUGCCAGCAGCCGCGGUAAUACGUAGGUGGCAAGCGUUGUCCGGAAUUAUUGGGCGUAAAGGAUGCGUAGGCGGUUCUUUAAGUGGGAUGUGAAAUCCCUGGGCUUAACCCAGGAAUAGCAUUCCAAACUGGAGGACUAGAGUGCAGGAGAGGAAAGUGGAAUUCCCAGUGUAGCGGUGAAAUGCGUAGAGAUUGGGAGGAACACCAGUGGCGAAGGCGGCCUCCUGGGCCAGUACUGACGCUCAUGCACGAAAGCGUGGGGAGCAAAC